Myzus persicae (green peach aphid) is the source of this 2339-nucleotide RNA transcript. It is a transcript of the gene named protein goliath, with no coding region annotated. The record is from RefSeq and is a predicted model, not a curated record. NCBI's taxonomy places the organism in Eukaryota, Metazoa, Arthropoda, Insecta, Hemiptera, Aphididae. The transcript has 9 exons.
CGCGUCAGUGCAGUGGGGCCCGAUAACAGAACGUCAGUAGUGUGCGAGACACGCGCCGUGGUCCAUCGUUUCGCCCGCACUUUAGGCGAAGACUUUCGAUCCCGAUUUAGUCGUGUAGUCGUACAACAGCUAUAGUGUAGUCUCAGCGUGAAAUUCUCACGGUAGCGAUUGCGUAGUUAUCUUGCGAUUAGACGCGAAUAAAAUCGUUAUCGCCCGCCGACAUUCGUCCCGGGCAGCCGCCUCCACAGCAGCCGCGGAAUGCCCGACGGUCGUCUUUCAGUAACGGAAAGUCGUCAGUUCGCGGUGAAAACGCGCACAGAGCCUGAGCAGGCCAGUUCGAUCGAUCGGUUUCACGACGUCGAUAGUAUUACCGUCGCGUCUGCGGCGAUGUAGUGCAGUACCCGGUCUUCGGUCAGAUUUUACCAUCCCGUUUUCGAGGAAACUAAAUUAAUACGGUCGAAAAAUAUCGAUUUUCGUUUGCACACUUUUAAAAAAGAAAACAACCGCGCAUAAGUUCGACCCCGUCCGUCAAUAGAAAAUACAAGUUAUCAACGUAUUGUCGUAUUAUAUUUCAGACGAUCGAAUUUAAAUCGUCGUCCACGACGGCGGACACCACCAUCCGCCUCGCCAUGCACGCGAUGCUGGCCGCGUGGACGUUACUCGGCGUGGCUGCGUCGUCGGACCCGUGGCCGGCCGCCGCGUCCACCAUCGACGAGACAGCUGACUCGUACACGACAGCGUACCUGAACGUGACCACCUACGAUGCGAUCACGGGCUUCGCGAUCCAGACUGAAAAAUCGGAGAUCGGCAAGUUCGGCGAGUAUCACGUGGGGGCCGCGUCCGGGAUGCUGUUGCAAGUGAUCGGUUCGGACGGCGACCGCAACGGGUGCGCGUCCCCCGUCCACGGUGUCAUGCAAGAACCACCGGAAGCCGUUCCCUGGAUAGCGCUGGUGCGCAGGGGCAAGUGCAGUUUCCAGACAAAAGUGGAUAACGCUCGGCGAGCCGGCGCCUCAGCCGUGAUCAUCUACAAUGACCGCGAAGCCACCGACCUCGACAAAAUGAAGCUGCUACCUUCCGACCCCAGAAAUGUCAGUGCAGUUUUCACGUAUAAGUGGAAGGGCGAGGACAUGGCCCGAAUGUUGGACGAUAUUAACAGGAGGGUGAUGGUAAAAAUCACAAUAGCCAGUCAUUGCACCAGGCCAUACGGUAACAUUAACAGAACUUCCGUAUUGUUUGUAAGCAUAUCGUUCAUAGUGCUUAUGGUUAUAUCUUUGGCAUGGCUUGUAUUCUACUACAUACAAAGGUUCCGGUAUAUACACGCUAAAGACCAACUGUCGAGACGAUUAUGUAACGCGGCCAAAAAAGCGUUGUCCAAGAUACCUACCAAGCACAUCAAAAUGGAUGACAAGGAGAUCGUUGGUGACGGGGACUGUUGUGCAGUGUGCAUUGAACCAUACAAACCGUCCGAGGUGGUUCGGAUACUGCCAUGCCGACAUGAAUUCCACAAAAGCUGUGUAGAUCCUUGGCUGUUAGAGCACCGAACUUGCCCAAUGUGCAAAAUGGACAUACUCAAGCAUUACGGUUUUUUGUUCACAGGCAGUCAAGAGAGUUUCCUGCACGUGGAAGUCGAAGAGGUGACCAAUGAUUUCGACGUGUACCAGUACGCACGUGGUCGGAGUUUCAUGGACACAGCGCAAAACUCGAGAACGAUACCGGACGUUGCCGCGGUGGCAGUGGCGGCAUCGGUCGUGUGCGAGUCGCCCGACACUAGGUCGUCGACGCCCGACGAACUGACGCCCGCGCUGACCCAACACGACUUCGGCGGCGGCGGCGGCGGCAGUGGCGACGGCCGUAUUACAGACGCCGCCACCAACUGCACAACGGUCGCCGCCGGCACCAACCGAUCGACGUCAUUCGAAGAGCAGCUUCCGGUCCACUCUGUUAGCGUACCUACAACAGCUAAAUAGUUUGACAACGGCCGACGCACUCACAAUCACGACUGUAUUUUAUUGAAUAACUAUAUUUGUUAUUUUUAUAACAUACACCUGUUCCGCAAGACCGUUUCCGGAUAGCGUGUGUUUGUGUGCGUGUGUGCGCGGUAUAUACCACAGGAAUCCAAAACAAUAAUCGACUCUGAUUGGUGGCACAGCCGACUAGGUCCACUGCGACAGACGCGUUCUUCAGAUGGUUUCUGAAACAUCAAAACAACGAUUCAGAACGAUGUGAUACUAGCCAUUAAGAUGACUUAAACUUUGUAAUAGAAUGUAUCUUCUGUUCAAGUCUUAUUGUUAUAGAGAUUAGGAUUAGGUACAAAAAAAAAUAUAUAUUAUAUAAUUUAA